Molecule: long non-coding RNA, 2406 nt
Organism: Amphiprion ocellaris (clown anemonefish)
Lineage: Eukaryota; Metazoa; Chordata; Actinopteri; Pomacentridae
Source: Ensembl
GUUUCGCUGUUUUUCUUAGUGAAUGCAAUGUGCUCCAACUGAAACUUGAAUUAGAACUUAGAAGUAAAUCAUUUCAUCUGAAAGGAUUUAGUUGCAUUAAUAACCUCAUAACAUUCUAAUUUUUAUUCCAGUCUUGGUUGGAAAUAGAAUCUCUGUAUUGAUUCAGGUAAAAACUGAACUUCACAGCAUGUUGGAGCAAAACAACCAGAUGAAAACUGUGAUGGUGUUGGAUUGUCAGACCGUAAUGUUGCAGCUCAAAGCAGCUUUUCUAGCUCAGUUCAUUCUGACAUUCAGCUAUGAAUCAACACAGCAGAUGGUGAUCCAUGCUGUGGAAGUCUCACAUCUCCUGAUUUAAUGGAGCUGCUUUGCACUUUUUACACUGUUUAUUCACCAACACUUUAUUUAAUAAAAGUCCCAUCUAGUUUUUAUGAGGAAUGUGAUGUUUUAAUUUCUCUGUGAAUAACUGCAGUCUAAUGCAACAGCUGGAGUUGUAACAUCUGUCCUGAUAUUGAUCAUGAAGUAUUGAUCAGAAUACUUAUGGUCAGCAGUCAUCCCUGAAGUUUUACAUUAAAAUCUUUACUUGUGUUGUGAACUUUGGUAAGAAGCAGAAACUUUAGCGUUGCCAUGGAUACAUGAGUGUUAAAUUCUGUCCAUGUUUCCAUUUUGGGAAAUUCAGUCCAGUUCCAGAAUGUGGAGGAAUUUAGUCUCAUCAUCACAGACAACAAAUAUUAUCUGAAAGUCGGGUUAUUGUUGUUUAUCAGCACAAUACAAAAAGAUUAAUGUUAGAAAUAUUCCAGUUAAGACUCUAGAAUAUCAUGAUUUAUGUAAAUUUACCUCAAUAAUAUGAAUGUUCAGGUUAAGAUUGUACAGUGAUAUUUAUUAUGUAAGUUUAGCUGAUUAAAGUUUGACUCUGCACUAAAAUAUUAUUUAAACUGACAUCAUUAUUAUAAUAUUUAGAGUCACACCCUACAGUAUUGAGAUCAAGAAAUCAAAUAUUCUAUAAAAUGUAAAUACACUGAACUCAUUUGGAUAUAUUUAAGUGAGACUCUACAAUAUUAUUUGACACAAAUCUAUCUAAAACAAAAUUUUAAUAAUUUUCAUGCCAAACAUUUACUGGACUGAUUAAAAUAUUAAAAUCACUCCUUUCUAAUCCUCUGCUGUACGUUCAAACCUGAGGCCUGAAAUAGAAGCACACAAGUAUCUGUUUGAAGGAACUUCUGCAGAGUCCUGGUUCCAGAACAUGAUGAUAGAAUUAUAGACAAACUUUAACAAAAGCUGACUGAGAGUUUACAGGUUUUUAUGUUGGAUUUCUUCAGUAAUUUAAUGAGCGUUAUCAGCAAAAAUCAAGUGUUCAUUUGAUGAACUUCAUUUCCUAAAACAUGCAGAAUUGGAGCUCAUAUCUUUGGCUGCUGUAAAGUUUCUGCUCCUUCAAAGUUCACAACACAAUGAAUUAAUUCCUAAAACACUCUCAGUGCUGGAGAGCGUUUGUGAUGCUGAAGCAGUGAGCAGUUUUUCUGUUUCUUCUCUGGAGAUGCACAAGGAGGGACGUCUGCAGAGACUGAGAAAGAAUCUCACCACAUCCUGACAUGAUAAAAAAAGACUUUAUUGAAGACUACAAUGAGAAAAACUAUCAGACAGCAGACGGCUGCAUUCAAGUCUGUAGCUACUGAAUUCAUGGAUGAAUCAUCUGGCACUAGAGAGGAAGACCAUCAAACAUCCACGUCAGCUGAUGGAGGUCCAAGAGUCUCACCCAACAAACAACCUACAGAGUGAAGACCUCAAAUCUGAUUGGACGGCCUCCUAUUCAGCCACAUUUUAGGCUGUUAGAUUGUUCCAGAUAAGACAAGUACAAGAUUCUUCAGAGCCGUUCUACCAUGAGCCUGACAGGAAGAACUCCAACAGCUACUGAAUGUUCCUGUGGUUCCCUCAAGGCUACAGGAGGAGCCCUACGAGGACGAGCCGGUCCACCUGAUGGUGGCCAGUCGCUGUGGUUCAAAGCCAACACCGACUACGUGGACUUCUACUGGACCACACGGAGGCCUUCAAACCGGACCAACAAGUUCACCGACUCCCCGACUCGUGGGUCUGAGGAUGCCGCCGAGCCUCGGUCCAGCCGGCCUCCUGUCUGUGGGUGUUUGAGUGCUGAGAGGUUUGUGGAUGCAUGUGAACAUUCUGUGUUGAAACAGCAGCUUUGGACUCAGUAACGCCAGGAAAAACCAAGAGCUCCUUUAUUUGUGACUUCCACUAAAAAAACUGAUGAAAAUAAGUUUGCCAGGGUUCUGACUGAUAACAGAUUAUUAAAUAAUGAAAAUAAUCAUUUAAAUAUUCCUUUAAACAAUCCUUUUAGGUCUACAUUUCCUUUACACUGACUUCUUGGUAUAUGUACAAGUAUUUUGGGUGGAAUAU